This 284-nucleotide ribosomal RNA is filed under the name uncultured bacterium. RNAcentral's name for it is "partial 16S ribosomal RNA". It matches the Rfam family "Bacterial small subunit ribosomal RNA", at positions 58 to 339 of the family's 1533-position model. The record is from RNAcentral.
CAAGUCGAGGGGCAGCGCGGGGCGGCAACGUCCUGGCGGCGACCGGCGGAAGGGUGCGUAACGCGUGAGCGACAUGCCCGUUGCCCGUGGACAACCGGUGGAAACGCCGACUAAUCCACGAUGGGAUAUUGUGCCGCAUGGCACGAUAUUGAAAGUUACGGCGGCGACGGAUUGGCUCGCGUCCGAUUAGCUUGUUGGCGGGGUAACGGCCCACCAAGGCUACGAUCGGUAGGGGUUCUGAGAGGAAGGUCCCCACAAUGGAACUGAGACACGGUCCAUACUCC